This 248-nucleotide ribosomal RNA is filed under the name uncultured bacterium. RNAcentral describes it as "partial 16S ribosomal RNA". It matches the Rfam family "Bacterial small subunit ribosomal RNA", at positions 525 to 771 of the family's 1533-position model. The record is from RNAcentral.
ACGUAUGGUGCAAGCGUUAUCCGGAUUUACUGGGUGUAAAGGGAGCGCAGGCGGUGCGGCAAGUCUGAUGUGAAAGCCCGGGGCUCAACCCCGGUACUGCAUUGGAAAACUGUCGUACUAGAGUGUCGGAGGGGUAAGCGGAAUUCCUAGUGUAGCGGUGAAAUGCGUAGAUAUUAGGAGGAACACCAGUGGCGAAGGCGGCUUACUGGACGAUAACUGACGCUGAGGCUCGAAAGCGUGGGGAGCAA